GACGAACGCUGGCGGCGUGCUUAACACAUGCAAGUCGAACGGAAAGGCCCUGCUUUUGUGGGGUGCUCGAGUGGCGAACGCGUGAGUAACACGUGUGUAACCUGCCCUUGACUUUGGGAUAACUUCAGGAGACUGGGGCUAAUACCGGAUAGGAGCUCCUGCUGCAUGGUGGGGGUUGGAAAGUUUCGGCGGUUGGGGAUGGACUCGCGGCUUAUGAGCUUGUUGGUGGGGUAGUGGCUUACCAAGGCUUUGACGGGUAGCCGGCCUGAGAGGGUGACCGGGCACAUGGGUACUGAGAGAGGGCGCAGACGCGUACGGGAGGCAGCAGGGGGGAAUAUUGCACAAUGGGCGGAAGCCUGAUGCAGAGACGCCGCGUGCGGGAUGACGGCCUUCGGGUUGUAAACCGCUUUCGCCUGUGACGAAGCGGGAGUGACGGUAAUGAAUAAAGAAGCACCGGCUAACUACGUG
RNAcentral lists this ribosomal RNA (468 nucleotides) under uncultured bacterium. Its description in RNAcentral is "partial 16S ribosomal RNA". It matches the Rfam family "Bacterial small subunit ribosomal RNA", at positions 28 to 507 of the family's 1533-position model. The record is from RNAcentral.